ACCAGCAUGGUGUAGUGGUUUGAUCAUCAGACUAUGACUCUGGAGACCAGGGUUCGAUUCCCAGCUCAGCCA
Non-coding RNA from Phrynosoma platyrhinos (Desert horned lizard), 72 nucleotides. Lineage: Eukaryota; Metazoa; Chordata; Lepidosauria; Squamata; Phrynosomatidae. The record is from the annotation of a GenBank genome assembly.